CUCGUAGUUGGACCUGUGUUCCACGCUGUCGGUUCGCCGCCCGUCGGUGUCAACUGGCAUGUCCUGUGGAACGUCCUGCCGGUGGCGGUCCGGGCUUUCGGCUUGCGUAAGGGCUCACGCCCGAAGCAGGUCGGACAGUACCGGCCGCCGGUCCAAUCCCGCCACGGUGCUCUUCACCGAGUGUCGAGGUGGGCCGGCACGUUUACUUUGAACAAAUUAGAGUGCUUAAAGCAGGCUGGUGUCCGCCUGAAUACUGUGUGCAUGGAAUAAUAGAAUAGGACCUCGGUUCUAUUUUGUUGGUUUUCGGAACCCGAGGUAAUGAUUAAUAGGGACAGGCGGGGGCAUUCGUAUUGCGACGUUAGAGGUGAAAUUCUUGGAUCGUCGCAAGACGAACCUAAGCGAAAGCAUUUGCCAAGUAUGUUCUCGUUAAUCAAGAACGAAAGUUAGAGGUUCGAAGGCGAUCAGAUACCGCCCUAGUUCUAACCAUAAACGAUGCCAGCCAGCGAUCCGCCGAAGUUCCUCCGAUGACUCGGCGGGCAGCUUCCGGGAAACCAAAGCUUUUGGGUUCCGGGGGAAGUAUGGUUGCAAAGCUGAAACUUAAAGGAAUUGACGGAAGGGCACCACCAGGAGUGGAGCCUGCGGCUUAAUUUGACUCAACACGGGAAACCUCACCAGGCCCGGACACCGGAAGGAUUGACAGAUUGAGAGCUCUUUCUUGAUUCGGUGGGUGGUGGUGCAUGGCCGUUCUUAGUUGGUGGAGCGAUUUGUCUGGUUAAUUCCGAUAACGAACGAGACUCUAGCCUGCUAACUAGGCGAUUCCGGUACCCACAAUAGUGUUACCGGCGAUUCAAUUUCUUCUUAGAGGGACAGGCGGCUCCUAGCCGCACGAGACUGAGCAAUAACAGGUCUGUGAUGCCCUUAGAUGUCCUGGGCCGCACGCGCGCUACACUGAAGGAAUCAGCGUGUCUUCCCUGGCCGACAGGCCCGGGUAACCCGUUGAACCUCCUUCGUGCUAGGGAUUGGGGCUUGCAAUUGUUCCCCAUGAACGAGGAAUUCCCAGUAAGCGCGAGUCAUAAGCUCGCGUUGAUUACGUCCCUGCCCUUUGUACACACCGCCCGUCGCUACUACCGAUUGAAUGAUUUAGUGAGGUCUUCGGACUGGUGCGCGGCGAUCGGUUUAUACUGCCGGCCGCCGAUGUUGCCGGAAAGAUGACCAAACUUGAUCAUUUAGAGGAAGUAAAAGUCGUACAGGGUUUCC
Molecule: ribosomal RNA, 1257 nt
Filed under: Mahanarva insignita
Lineage: Eukaryota; Metazoa; Arthropoda; Insecta; Hemiptera; Cercopidae
Description: SSU rRNA
Rfam family: Eukaryotic small subunit ribosomal RNA
Source: RNAcentral